CAAACCAAGGUUAAAACUCAGCUCCACACUUACCCACAGCCGGAAACCCAAAAUCAAAGACUUGUUCUACCUCAAGCUCUCACUUCUUCUUCCUUCUUCUUCUGAUAGUCACUCUCAACUCACUCUUUCCUUUUCUUUUCUUUUUUCUCUUUGUGGAAAUUUUUUAUUGUUGUUGUUUAUUGUGAUUUCUGGGAUUCCGAUCCACCAUUGCCAGAAACCAUGGGUUCUCCAGUGAGUCCUUCGUGACUCCACUCUCUCCAUGCAUGAUCCAAGUCACCGUCGUUGCCUCCAGAUUUCUCUCCUCGACCAUGGCUUUCUCAGAAGGAUUUGGCGUCUUCAAGUUCGUUUUGGUGAGGAUUCUGGAUAAGGAAAUUUACUUUAGUUCAUUCGGAGAAGCGUCUCUCUCUGUUGUGGUGGAU
Quercus lobata is the source of this 419-nucleotide long non-coding RNA. RefSeq lists it as uncharacterized. The record is from RefSeq and is a predicted model, not a curated record. The transcript has 2 exons. Lineage: Eukaryota; Viridiplantae; Streptophyta; Magnoliopsida; Fagales; Fagaceae.